This 597-nucleotide ribosomal RNA is filed under the name uncultured bacterium. RNAcentral's name for it is "bacterial SSU rRNA". It matches the Rfam family "Bacterial small subunit ribosomal RNA", at positions 112 to 704 of the family's 1533-position model. The record is from RNAcentral.
AAUACUUAGGAAUCUACCUAUUAAUGGGGGACAACAUUUCGAAAGGAAUGCUAAUACCGCAUACGCCCUACGGGGGAAAGCAGGGGAUCUUCGGACCUUGCGUUAAUAGAUGAGCCUAAGUCGGAUUAGCUAGUUGGUGGGGUAAAGGCCUACCAAGGCGACGAUCUGUAGCGGGUCUGAGAGGAUGAUCCGCCACACUGGGACUGAGACACGGCCCAGACUCCUACGGGAGGCAGCAGUGGGGAAUAUUGGACAAUGGGCGAAAGCCUGAUCCAGCCAUGCCGCGUGUGUGAAGAAGGCCUUUUGGUUGUAAAGCACUUUAAGCGAGGAGGAGGCUACUGAGAUCAAUACUCUUGGAUAGUGGACGUUACUCGCAGAAUAAGCACCGGCUAACUCUGUGCCAGCAGCCGCGGUAAUACAGAGGGUGCGAGCGUUAAUCGGAUUUACUGGGCGUAAAGCGUGCGUAGGCGGCUUUUUAAGUCGGAUGUGAAAUCCCUGAGCUUAACUUAGGAAUUGCAUUCGAUACUGGGAAGCUAGAGUAUGGGAGAGGAUGGUAGAAUUCCAGGUGUAGCGGUGAAAUGCGUAGAGAUCUGGAGG